GAUCAUGGCUCAGGACGAACGCUGGCGGCGUGCUUAACACAUGCAAGUCGAACGGACGGACAGGGAGCUUGCUCCCUUGAAGUUAGUGGCGAACGGGUGAGUAACGCGUAAUCAACCUGCCCUUCAGAGGGGGAUAACAACGGGAAACCGUUGCUAAUACCGCGUACGAUUCACGAAUGGCAUCAUUUGUGAAUGAAAGGUGGCCUCUAUUUAUAAGCUAUCGCUGAAGGAGGGGAUUGCGU
RNAcentral lists this ribosomal RNA (242 nucleotides) under uncultured bacterium. RNAcentral describes it as "partial 16S ribosomal RNA". It matches the Rfam family "Bacterial small subunit ribosomal RNA", at positions 15 to 236 of the family's 1533-position model. The record is from RNAcentral.